ACGAACGCUGGCGGCGUGCCUAAUACAUGCAAGUUGAGCGCUGAAGGUUGGUACUUGUACCCACUGGAUGAGCAGCGAACGGGUGAGUAACGCGUGGGGAAUCUGCCUUUGAGCGGGGGACAACAUUUGGAAACGAAUGCUAAUACCGCAUAAAAACUUUAAACACAAGUUUUAAGUUUGAAAGAUGCAAUUGCAUCACUCAAAGAUGAUCCCGCGUUGUAUUAGCUAGUUGGUGAGGUAAAGGCUCACCAAGGCGAUGAUACAUAGCCGACCUGAGAGGGUGAUCGGCCACAUUGGGACUGAGACACGGCCCAAACUCCUACGGGAGGCAGCAGUAGGGAAUCUUCGGCAAUGGACGAAAGUCUGACCGAGCAACGCCGCGUGAGUGAAGAAGGGUUUCGGAUCGUAAAACUCUGUUGGUAGAGAAGAACGUUGGUGAGAGUGGAAAGCUCAUCAAGUGACGGUAACUACCCAGAAAGGGACGGCUAACUACGUG
This 496-nucleotide ribosomal RNA is filed under the name uncultured bacterium. RNAcentral's name for it is "partial 16S ribosomal RNA". It matches the Rfam family "Bacterial small subunit ribosomal RNA", at positions 29 to 507 of the family's 1533-position model. The record is from RNAcentral.